Long non-coding RNA from Anopheles funestus (African malaria mosquito), 2762 nucleotides. RefSeq lists it as uncharacterized. Lineage: Eukaryota; Metazoa; Arthropoda; Insecta; Diptera; Culicidae. The record is from RefSeq and is a predicted model, not a curated record. The transcript has 3 exons.
AAUUGGCGAUCCGUUGGAUACCGACCGAGUUAUAGACAAAAGUUGAUGCAAAAAUGAGGAAAAUUUUACAUUUUCUCAAACAGGGUAAGGAACUUGGUUCCUCGAAUAACUUCUGGCACAAACAUCUGAGGGCAUGGCCGUCCAUGAAGAAAAUGUAGCCAUUGGUGCCAUAUAUCGACCACAGGUUAAAGAUUGGCGAUCCGUUGGAUACCGACCGAGUUAUAGGCAAAAGUUGGUGCAAAAAUGAGGAAAAUUUUACAUUUUCUCAAACAGGGUAAGGAACUUGGUUCCUCGAAUAACUUCUGGCACAAACAUCUGAGGGCAUGGCUGUCCAAGAAGAAAAUGUAGCCAUUGGUGCCAUCUAUCGACCACAGGUUGAAGAUUGGCGAUCCGUUGGGUACCGACCGAGUUAUAGGCAAAAGUUGGUGCAAAAAUGAGGAAAAUUUUACAUGUUCUCAAACAGGGUAAGGAACUUGGUUCCUCGAAUAACUUCUGGCACAGACAUCUGAGGGCAUGGCCGUCCAUGAAGAAAAUGUAGCCAUUGGUGCCAUCUAUCGACCACAGGUUAAAGAUUGGCGAUCCGUUGGAUACCGACCGAGUUAUAGGCAAAAGUUGGUGCAAAAAUGAGGAAAAUUUUACAUUUUCUCAAACAGGGUAAGGAACUUGGUUCCUCGAAUAACUUCUGGCACAAACAUCUGAGGGCAUGGCUGUCCAAGAAGAAAAUGUAGCCAUUGGUGCCAUCUAUCGACCACAGGUUAAAGAUUGGUGAUCCGUUGGAUAACGACCGAGUUAUAGGCAAAAGUUGGUGCAAAAAUGAGGAAAAUUUUACAUUUCCUCAAACAGGGUAAGGAACUUGGUUCCUCGAAUAACUUCUGACACAGACAUCUGAGGGCAUGGCCGUUUAUCAAGAAAAUGUAGCCAUAGGUGCCAUCUAUCGACCACAGGUUAAAGAUUGGCGAUCCGCUGGAUACCGAUCGAGUGAUAGCCAAAACUUGGCGCAAAAAUGAUCCUUAUUAAACUUCAACUAAUUCGCAUUAAAAUAAAUCAAUUUAAAAAAAUUGUUAAAUUUCCCAAAAAAAAAGCUAAGGCCUUAGGAGAUUACUGCCGAGGUUUUUUAUGACUCUGAAAUGAGUCGUUAAGCGAGCUGGUUCGUAAUAAGGACUCAUUAACUCUGAGUUGACUCACUAAAAAGGGUUGUUGUUCUCAUCUCUACGCAGAAGACGGACUCCUUUAGACAGGAUAAGGGAAUAAGGGAAUGGAUAACUCAAGAGAAGUCUUUUCUCUGUAAAUUAGUUUGAAUGUCUGAAUAUUUCGGUUUAAUGUCACAUUCCAGAACAUGCCUGAAGUAAAAAAGGGAUACUCCAUCCCACUCCACGUUAGAGAAAUUGGCGUUUUUUUGGUGGUUUUAGCUUUCUUUCAAACUUCCAUCUUUGCCCAGAGGAAAACAGCAAAGUAAACGUUAUUUCUUGAGGACUAUUCAAUUCCACCAACAUCAACAACGAAAGAUAGUCAACGACAACAUGAAAACAUGCUUAACAACAGACCUAGACCUUCGUUGGAGAACCUUCAAUGGUUUUGUUUAUAGUCGAUUUUGGAGUUGUUCUUUGAUUUUGCCUUUAUUUUGAUGUUGUCGCAAUAAUAUUGGAAUCAGAAACGAAGAAUCAGUUAAGUGACGGAAGAGAUUAAAUCAACACGAGACGUGAUUCUGUGGUCGAUCGGUGCUUCGGUUGUGUAAAUAAUAAAACCUUUGAUCACGCACAUUCUCUCUCUCUCCCUCUCUCUCCCUGUCUCCGUCUCACCACAAAGCGUGUUGAGGUAACUUCAUGCUGACUGCUCAACAUCUGCUAGCAGCGUGACAUGUAUUGUGUUCAGCGCAAGUGAGCUACGCAAUUGCGACACACGCACGCAACUGCAGACACUUGAAAAACAAUCGUUAAAAAUAAUAUGCGAAGGUUGGUGACGCUCGUGAUCGUUGGUUCUCGUAUCUUGAAGUUGAGGAGAGAGUAACGUAGAAGAGGAGAAGUAACGUUGUCUGGUUCCGUUAUUUAUAAAGAACCCUUCUUUGAUCUGUUUUUUCGAUUCUUUGAACUUCCAUUGAAGAAUGGCUGUGGAGAGAAGGGACUUGGAUAAGACUCUUUGGUGAUGAUAAAGGGAUUUAUGUCGUCUACAAAUCUAGAACAGUUCUUUGAUUGAUCAUUCGAUUUUACUUUAAUUAUUGUUCUCUUCCGUUCUGGAUAUUGAAACAAAAGGAAUUCCUCAGCUCAAACUAGAAACUAGUCAACUAGGCUUCUUGAGGAACCUUCUUAUUGGUCAGGUGUUGUGAAGUGCCUCACCUGAGACAUUUCGCACCCUUAUAAACGUCUGUUAAUCAUCCCUUGUUCGCUUGAAUGAAUAGGUCAAAGCAGUAGAACGUUCACACCCUUCUGAAUAUUCUUCAACCUCAUCAUCUGGUGAUUGGUGCUCGUCCCUCUUCUUCUGCGUUAUGUUUCCCAUCCAUUUCAUCACUGUUUGUUUGACUUACCUAGACUAAGGGUGGUCAAUUGCUACCCUUAUACCGGUGGGAACCAAUGGGCAGUGUAUUUGAAAGGUAAUGCAAGACAUCGGAAAAUAAACCUUCGUUUCUUUGUGUCAAAUAGCAAUGGCGCAUCCGUUCGAGAAUGCCGCACCCAAAGCCUAAUGAGUCAUCAGUGUGAACGUUAGUCAAAUGCUUCGUGGUAAAGUUCAAUGCAAAGGCUUGGAAUGUAAAUUGAAAAACUUUACAU